UUUUAGCCCCUCAACUUUACUGUUGCUAUUCCGGGAUGUUACAUGUCGAUGAUAUCAUCUUUGGCUCAACGAAUCCUAGCUUAAUAGCUGAAUUCAGAAAGCUGAUGGAGACUAAAUUUGAAAUGAGCUCAAUGGGUCCGAUUAACUUUUUCCUUGGUUUAAAUAUCAGACAGGGACCCGAAGGCAUCUUUAUCAACCAGGAAGCAUACACCAAAACUCUCCUUGCUAAAUUCGGCAUGAUGGUAGAUUCAAAGGUUAAAGUCCCAAUGGCGUUUGGCACCAAGCUCACACCAUCCUUGGAUAAACCGGCAGUCGACAUUACGUUAUAUCGCCAGAUGAUUGGUUCUUUAAUGUACCUUAUUGCUAGCAGGCCUGAUAUAAUGUUUUCUGUGUGUUAUUGUGCUAGAUUUCAGGCAAAUCCUUGUGAACCACAUAUGCUUACAGUAAAGAACAUACUCCGGUAUCUGAAACGAACUACCUCUCUCGGUUUAUGGUAUCCAUCAAACUCAGGUUUUUUCCUUCAAGCCUACUCAAAUGCAGACCUUGGAGGUUUUGGUUUAGACAGGAAAAGCACAACUGGAGGCUGCCAAUUCCUAGACGGGAAGUUGGUUAGCUGGGAAUCANAUGUUUUCUGUGUGUUAUUGUGCUAGAUUUCAGGCAAAUCCUUGUGAACCACAUAUGCUUACAGUAAAGAACAUACUCCGGUAUCUGAAACGAACUACCUCUCUCGGUUUAUGGUGUCCAUCAAACUCAAGUUUCUUCGUUCAAGCCUACUCAGACGCAGACCUUGGAGGUUGUGGU
This 801-nucleotide long non-coding RNA is filed under the name Lactuca sativa (garden lettuce). Its description in RNAcentral is "long non-coding RNA (LSAT_LNC005567)". Lineage: Eukaryota; Viridiplantae; Streptophyta; Magnoliopsida; Asterales; Asteraceae. The record is from RNAcentral.